This 497-nucleotide ribosomal RNA is filed under the name uncultured bacterium. RNAcentral describes it as "partial 16S ribosomal RNA". It matches the Rfam family "Bacterial small subunit ribosomal RNA", at positions 28 to 507 of the family's 1533-position model. The record is from RNAcentral.
GAUGAACGCUGGCGGCGUGCCUAACACAUGCAAGUCGAGCGAACAGACGAGGAGUUUGCUCCUCUGACGUUAGCGGCGGACGGGAGAGUAACACGUGGAUAACCUACCUAUAAGACUGUGAUAACUUCGGGAAACCGGUGCUACUACCGGAUGAUAUAUUGAACCGCAUGGUUCACUAGUGAAAGACGGUUUUGCUGUCACUUAUAGAUGGAUCCGCGCCGCAUUAGCUAGUUGGUAAGGUAACGGCUUACCAAGGCAACGAUGCGUAGCCGACCUGAGAGGGUGAUCGGCCACACUGGAACUGAGACACGGUCCAGACUCCUACGGGAGGCAGCAGUAGGGAAUCUUCCGCAAUGGGCGAAAGCCUGACGGAGCAACGCCGCGUGAGUGAUGAAGGUCUUCGGAUCGUAAAGCUCUGUUAUUAGGGAAGAACAAAUGUGUUAGUAACCAUGCAGGUCAUGACGGUACCGAAACAAAAAGCCACGGCUAACUACGUG